RNAcentral lists this ribosomal RNA (433 nucleotides) under uncultured bacterium. RNAcentral describes it as "partial 16S ribosomal RNA". It matches the Rfam family "Bacterial small subunit ribosomal RNA", at positions 29 to 507 of the family's 1533-position model. The record is from RNAcentral.
AACGAACGCUGGCGGCAUGCCUAACACAUGCAAGUCGAACGAGACCUUCGGGUCUAGUGGCGCACGGGUGCGUAACGCGUGGGAACCUGCCCUUAGGUUCGGAAUGACUCCCCGAAAGGGGUGCUAAUACCGGAUAAUGUCUUCGGACCAAAGAUUUAUCGCCUUUGGAUGGGCCCGCGUUGGAUUAGCUAGUUGGUAGGGUAAAAGCCUACCAAGGCGACGAUCCAUAGCUGGUCUGAGAGGAUGAUCAGCCACACUGGGACUGAGACACGGCCCAGACUCCUACGGGAGGCAGCAGUGGGGAAUAUUGGACAAUGGGCGAAAGCAUGAUCCAGCAAUGCCGGGUGAGUGAUGAAGGCCUUAGGGUUGUAAAGCUCUUUUACCCGGGAUGAUAAUGACAGUACCGGGAGAAUAAGCCCCGGCUAACUCCGUG